UAGGAUUCACAUUAAGCGUUUUGCCUUGUUACAUAUAAAAAGUAAUUGUAUUUUUUUUUAUGACUUCUGCUGGUAACUUGAAACUUACAGUAGUCACAUGUAGUUCAACCAGCUUCAGAUAGGGCUGUUCAGUGGUAAAUAUCCUGCAGCAUUCACAAAUCUAAAUUUCAGUCUGAAUUGUAGUAUUUAAUUCCAUAAUCUGUUGUGAAUCAUUGUUAUUUGUUUCAAACAGAUAUCUGCAUUGGCUGUUUCACACCGUUCCUUCUCAUGCUCUUCAGCAAUAUGACUCGAUGAUGGAACGUUAGUGGUUCUGGACAGGACAAACAGGAAUGCCACUUGGAUGGGGAGGGAGGUCAUUUUCUACCCCAGGAAGAAUGCUAACAGAGGCAAAGUGCAUGGGAUAAUCACUGGAGCCAUGACUACAGGAAGUUUUCAUGCUUUCCAAGUCAGAGCAACUAAAUUCGGAGAAAUGAUUUGAGUAGGAGUUGGCUUCAGAUGGAAUGCUGCCACUGAGAGAUGUUCUCAGGUACUCCCAGAAGUUGUUACCAGACUUUUCUCUCCCUUGUGACUCUUCUCAGACUGAACUCCAUCUUCUUUAUCUUUUGGUGCCCCUGCAAGACCUAGCACAGUACCUGAAGAAUAAUAAUCACAAUGGACUCUCAUUUCUCAAGGAUUCUUUACAGUUUACAAAGAUUGGCAAAGCAGUUUAUUUACAAAAGUCCUAUGAGGUAGGUAUGGCUGUGGUCAAGAAGACCUGGGUUCAAAUCCUCCUUGUGACAAUUAUGUGACCAUCAAGUAAGUUACUUUAUUUUUCUGACCCUGAGUUCCCUUAUCAAUAUAUGGGGAUAAACAGUAGCAAGGUGGCACAGUGGAGUGAGGAAGACCUGAGUUCAUGGAAGAACCUCACUGAACUGAUGCAGAAUGAAAUAAGUAGAACCAGGAGAACACUGUAUACAGAAAGUGAAACAUUGUGUAACAAUCCAAAGUAAUGGACUUUGCUACUAGUAGCAAUGCAAAAAGCCAGGACACUCCUGAAGGAUUUGAGAAAGAAUGCUAACUACAUUAAGAACUGUGGGAGAAGAAAUGCUGAAGAAAAAUAUAUGACUUAUCACUUGUAUAUAUGGGUAUGUGAUUUGGGGUUUUGGCUUUAAAAGAUCACUCUAUUGUUAGAACCCAAGGGGGGAAGAGGAACCCCAAAGACUCAGACCAGGGGCCGAAGGUCCCUUAGGUAGGAGCGAGAAAUUGAAGUCCAGAGAGAUAAGAAUCUUUUGGGAUCAGAAGGACUGCAGAGCUGGUAGCUACUGCCAGCAGAGUUUAUUGAAUAGGGGAAGGAUUAAUAAAGGAAAAGACCACAGGAAUGAAGGAGCA
This 1368-nucleotide long non-coding RNA is filed under the name Monodelphis domestica (gray short-tailed opossum). RNAcentral describes it as "lncRNA (ENSMODG00000047659.1)". The record is from RNAcentral. Lineage: Eukaryota; Metazoa; Chordata; Mammalia; Didelphimorphia; Didelphidae.